This 73-nucleotide transfer RNA is filed under the name Octopus bimaculoides (California two-spot octopus). Its description in RNAcentral is "transfer RNA lysine (anticodon UUU)". It matches the Rfam family "tRNA". From Rfam's summary of the family: Transfer RNA (tRNA) molecules are approximately 80 nucleotides in length. Lineage: Eukaryota; Metazoa; Mollusca; Cephalopoda; Octopoda; Octopodidae. The record is from RNAcentral.
GCCCGCAUAGCUCAGUCGGUAGAGCAUCAGAUUUUUAAUCUGCGGGUCGCGGGUUCGAGUCCCUCUGUGGGUG